CUCUUUCCUUUCUGCCGGGGACCGUUGGGUGUCUUAAUUGCCAUCCCUCGGGAGUCGGCGUUGUUACUUUGAAAAAAUUAGAGUGUUCAAAGCAAGCCAUCGCUCUGAAUACAUUAGCAUGGAAUAACAUGAUAGGACUCCGCUCUUAUUUUGUUGGUUUCCGAGACUGGAGUAAUGAUUAAGAGGGACAGUCGGGGGCAUCCGUAUUUCAUUGUCAGAGGUGAAAUUCUUGGAUUUAUGAAAGACGAACUUCUGCGAAAGCAUUUGCCAAGGAUGUUUUCAUUAAUCAAGAACGAAAGUUGGGGGCUCGAAGAUGAUCAGAUACCAUCCUAGUCUCAACCAUAAACGAUGCCGACUAGGGAUUGGCGGAUGUUCCUUAGAUGACUCCGCCAGCACCUUAUGAGAAAUCAUUAAGUUUUUGGGUUCCGGGGGGAGUAUGGUCGCAAGGCUGAAACUUAAAGGAAUUGACGGAAGGGCACCACCAGGCGUUGUUUGCUACAAGCUCUAAGCGC
RNAcentral lists this ribosomal RNA (512 nucleotides) under Prasinoderma singulare. Its description in RNAcentral is "SSU rRNA". It matches the Rfam family "Eukaryotic small subunit ribosomal RNA", at positions 689 to 1496 of the family's 1831-position model. The record is from RNAcentral. Lineage: Eukaryota; Viridiplantae; Prasinodermophyta; Prasinodermophyceae; Prasinodermales; Prasinodermaceae.